AUGUGUGCAUGUAUAGAGAGAGAAAGGAAGAGAGAGAGAUUGUUCCAUAGCCGAUCUGGAGAAGUCAUUAGCUUCACCCUUUUACCUCCUUAGAUUACAUAAGCCCUUACUUGAGUUCUUCUUCAAAAAUCAAGGAUAAAAUUUCUCUCUAGCUCCUCCAACAGCUACGGUUUAGAGAAAUCUAAAUACCAAGAAAUCGAUGUUAAAGAGCAUGGUUGGAAAAUAAGGUUGAGAAGAAAGAGCUGUUGAAAUCUAGCACAAAGGAAGCAAACACCGAGUUCAUAAAAAUUACUAUGGAUUUAUAUAAAGAUAAGAAAGAGAAAUGCUCAAAGAGUUGUAAAAUCAUGGGAUAGUGAUUAUGUGGCAUAAAGAAUGGUGAGAUGGAGAGAAAAAGCUAUUUAUCAAGAUGAACAAAUUAGAGAAAAAUAAGACAUUGACUCAUAAUGGGUGGAAGUUUUGAGAGAAUCUCGAGUCGUUUGAUACAUGCAUCAUGUUGCGAUAUUACACCACAUAUAAAUAAGGAUACCAAUUUGAUACAUACAUCAUGCUAAAAUGUUAAGCUUAACACUAAUAAGGAGGCAUCCAAAUUUGUAAUAGCUUAUUUUACUUUUAUAGUGCUA
This is a long non-coding RNA of Capsicum annuum, 620 nucleotides long. RefSeq lists it as uncharacterized. The record is from RefSeq and is a predicted model, not a curated record. The transcript has 2 exons. NCBI's taxonomy places the organism in Eukaryota, Viridiplantae, Streptophyta, Magnoliopsida, Solanales, Solanaceae.